Molecule: ribosomal RNA, 110 nt
Filed under: Cyprinodon beltrani
Lineage: Eukaryota; Metazoa; Chordata; Actinopteri; Cyprinodontiformes; Cyprinodontidae
Description: partial 16S ribosomal RNA
Source: RNAcentral
UAUGAGAGGUCCCGCCUGCCCUGUGACUAAUGUUUAACGGCCGCGGUAUCUUGACCGUGCAAAGGUAGCGCAAUCACUUGUCUUUUAAAUGAAGACCUGUAUGAAUGGCU